RNAcentral lists this ribosomal RNA (474 nucleotides) under uncultured bacterium. RNAcentral's name for it is "bacterial SSU rRNA". It matches the Rfam family "Bacterial small subunit ribosomal RNA", at positions 28 to 505 of the family's 1533-position model. The record is from RNAcentral.
GAUGAACGCUGGCGGCGUGGAUAAGGCAUGCAAGUCGAACGACCCAUCGUAAUACGGAUCUCUCUUCGGAGAGUGAAGUAUUACAUAUAUGGGGAGUGGCAAACGGGGUAGUAACAGGUAGGUAUAUACCAUUGAGUCAGGAAUAACUAUGAGAAAUCAUAGCUAAUACCUGAUAGUCUCUACGGAGUAAAGAUUUAUCGCUCAAUGAAUAGCCUGCUUAGUAUCAGCUAGUUGGUAGUGUAAUGGACUACCAAGGCUAUGACGCUUAGGGGAGGUGAGAGCCUGACCCCCACCAUUGGAACUGCGACACGGUCCAAACUCCUACGGGAGGCUGCAGUCGAGAAUCUUCCGCAAUGCACGAAAGUGUGACGGAGCGACGCCGCGUGAUGGAUGAAGUAUUUCGGUAUGUAAACAUCUUUUAUAAGUGAAGAAGUAUAUUGACAUUAACUUAUGAAUAAGGGGUUCCUAAACUCG